GACGAACGCUGGCGGCGUGCUUAACACAUGCAAGUCGAACGGGCCCGCCCCUGUUUUUGGGGGUGGGUUGAGUGGCGAACGGGUGAGUAUCACGUGAGUAACCUGCCCCCUGCUCCUGGAUAACUGCUUGAAAGGGCGGCUAAUACGGGGUGUGCCGGCUGGUCCGCAUGGGCCUGGUCGGGAUAGUUUCAUCUUCGGGUGUUUCGGUGGGGGAUGGGCUCGCGGCCUAUCAGCUUGUUGGUGGGGUGAUGGCCCACCAAGGCGGUGACGGGUAGCCGGCCUGAGAGGGUGGGCGGCCACACUGGGACUGAGACACGGCCCAGACGCCUGCGGGAGGCAGCAGUGGGGGGUAUUGCACAAUGGGCGGAAGCCUGAUGCAGCGACGUCGCGUGAGGGAUGGAGGCCUUCGGGUUGUGAACCUCUUUCUCCGGUGGUGAAGGCCCUGUCCGUUGCGGCGGGGUUGACGGUAGCCGGGGAUGAAGCGCCGGCUAACUACGUG
Molecule: ribosomal RNA, 499 nt
Filed under: uncultured bacterium
Lineage: Bacteria
Description: partial 16S ribosomal RNA
Rfam family: Bacterial small subunit ribosomal RNA
Source: RNAcentral